GACGAACGCUGGCGGCGUGCUUAACACAUGCAAGUCGAACGGAAAGGCCCUGCUUGCAGGGUAUUCGAGUGGCGAACGGGUGAGUAACACGUGGGUGAUCUGCCCUGCACUUCGGGAUAAGCCUGGGAAACUGGGUCUAAUACCGGAUAGGAGCCAUUUUUAGUGUGAUGGUUGGAAAGUUUUUUCGGUGUAGGAUGAGCUCGCGGCCUAUCAGCUUGUUGGUGGGGUAAUGGCCUACCAAGGCGGCGACGGGUAGCCGGCCUGAGAGGGUGGACGGCCACAUUGGGACUGAGAGACGGCCCAGACUCCUACGGGAGGCAGCAGGGGGGAAUAUUGCACAAUGGGCGCAAGCCUGAUGCGGCGACGCCGCGUGGGGGAUGACGGCCUUCGGGUUGUAAACUCCUUUCGCUAGGGACGAAGCUUUUUGUGACGGUACCUAGAGAAGAAGCACCGGCUAACUACGUG
RNAcentral lists this ribosomal RNA (465 nucleotides) under uncultured bacterium. RNAcentral describes it as "partial 16S ribosomal RNA". It matches the Rfam family "Bacterial small subunit ribosomal RNA", at positions 28 to 507 of the family's 1533-position model. The record is from RNAcentral.